UUAACCUACCAUUUUAUUCCAUUGAAGAGUUUGUAAAUUUAUAAAAAGUUAUAGAAUUGAAUGGUAGGUGAACA
Non-coding RNA from Cordylochernes scorpioides, 74 nucleotides. The record is from the annotation of a GenBank genome assembly. NCBI's taxonomy places the organism in Eukaryota, Metazoa, Arthropoda, Arachnida, Pseudoscorpiones, Chernetidae.